RNAcentral lists this ribosomal RNA (459 nucleotides) under uncultured bacterium. Its description in RNAcentral is "partial 16S ribosomal RNA". It matches the Rfam family "Bacterial small subunit ribosomal RNA", at positions 338 to 795 of the family's 1533-position model. The record is from RNAcentral.
CCUACGGGUGGCAGCAGUGAGGAAUAUUGGUCAAUGGGCGGAAGCCUGAACCAGCCAAGUAGCGUGCGGGAUGAAGGCCCUACGGGUCGUAAACCGCUUUUGCACGGGGAUAACACCCUCCACUUGUGGAUGUCUGCAGGUACCGUGCGAAUAAGGGCCGGCUAAUUCCGUGCCAGCAGCCGCGGUAAAACGGAAGGCCCGGGUGUUGUCCGGAUUAAUUGGGCUUAACGGGAGCGUAGGCGGGCGUUCAAGUCAGCGGGAAUGUCGCGGGGCCCAACCGCGCCCCGCAGUUGAAACUGGACGGCUUGAGUGCACAACAGGCAGGCGGAAUUCGGGGUGUAGCGGUGAAAUGCAUAGAUAGCACGAGGAACCCCGAUUGCGAAGGCAGCCUGCCGGGGUGCGACUGACGCUGAGGCUCGAAGGUGCGGGUAUCAAACAGGAUUAGAUACCCCAGUAGUC